CGACCAGCCACACUGGGACUGAGACACGGUCCAGACUCCAUACGGGAGGCAGCAGUGGGGAAUUUUGGACAAUGGGGGCAACCCUGAUCCAGCCAUGCCGCGUGUGUGAAGAAGGCCUUCGGGUUGUAAAGCACUUUUGUCCGGAACGAAACGGCGGAUGCCAAUACCAUCCGUUAAUGACGGUACCGGAAGAAUAAGCACCGGACUACGUGCCAGCAGCCGCGGUAAUACGUAGGGUGCAAGCGUUAAUCGGAAUUACUGGGCGUAAAGCGUGCGCAGGGCGGUUUCGCAAGUCAGAUGUGAAAUCCCCGGGCUUAACCUGGGAACUGCAUUUGAAACUACGAGGCUA
This 349-nucleotide ribosomal RNA is filed under the name uncultured ammonia-oxidizing bacterium. Its description in RNAcentral is "bacterial SSU rRNA". It matches the Rfam family "Bacterial small subunit ribosomal RNA", at positions 301 to 643 of the family's 1533-position model. The record is from RNAcentral.